Molecule: transfer RNA, 74 nt
Filed under: Acidobacteriota bacterium
Lineage: Bacteria; Pseudomonadati; Acidobacteriota
Also listed under: 2 other names
Description: Acidobacteria bacterium tRNA-Ile
Rfam family: tRNA
About the family: Transfer RNA (tRNA) molecules are approximately 80 nucleotides in length. Their secondary structure includes four short double-helical elements and three loops (D, anti-codon, and T loops). Further hydrogen bonds mediate the characteristic L-shaped molecular structure. tRNAs have two regions of fundamental functional importance: the anti-codon, which is responsible for specific mRNA codon recognition, and the 3' end, to which the tRNAs corresponding amino acid is attached (by aminoacyl-tRNA synthetases). tRNAs cope with the degeneracy of the genetic code in two manners: having more than one tRNA (with a specific anti-codon) for a particular amino acid; and 'wobble' base-pairing, i.e. permitting non-standard base-pairing at the 3rd anti-codon position.
Source: RNAcentral
CCAGGCUUCGUCCAACGGCAGGACUUCCGGCCGAUUACCGGAGAAUCGAGGUUCGAGUCCUCGAGCCUGGACCA